UACGGAGGGUGCAAGCGUUAUCCGGAUUUACUGGGUUUAAAGGGUGCGUAGGUGGGUCGGUAAGUCAGCGGUGAAAUCUUCGAGCUUAACUCGGAAACUGCCAUUGAUACUAUCGAUCUUGAAUCAUCUAGAGGUAAGCGGAAUAUGUCAUGUAGCGGUGAAAUGCUUAGAUAUGACAUGGAAUACCAAUUGCGAAGGCAGGUUACUAACAAUAUAUUGACGCUGAUGGACGAAAGCGUGGGGAGCGAACAGG
RNAcentral lists this ribosomal RNA (253 nucleotides) under uncultured bacterium. RNAcentral describes it as "partial 16S ribosomal RNA". It matches the Rfam family "Bacterial small subunit ribosomal RNA", at positions 524 to 776 of the family's 1533-position model. The record is from RNAcentral.